Passer domesticus (house sparrow) is the source of this 448-nucleotide long non-coding RNA. RefSeq lists it as uncharacterized. The transcript is spliced from 3 exons. The record is from RefSeq and is a predicted model, not a curated record. NCBI's taxonomy places the organism in Eukaryota, Metazoa, Chordata, Aves, Passeriformes, Passeridae.
UCUAAUACUUGGUUUUUGUGCUUCCUGUAGCCAAGAUCAGGAUGGAUAAUCUCUCUAUGAUGUCUGAGGGUAUGAUGCAACAGUUGAAAUGUUGUUCUGGACCAUGGAAAUCAUGAUGCAAAAAAGUGAGGAAGAGUAGGGAAGUAACUCCAAUGAAGAAGGACUAUGCAGUGUAGGUUUUAGGCUGCCAGACCCAUGUGCAAGUGGCUUGCUGUGUAUAUGCUGUGCACAGGAUCGUGGACAUCAGAAGUGCCUCUGAAUUGUCAAGAUAAGAUUUGCAUUCUGCUGCCAUCAGGGAAUCAGAUCCAGCAAUAUUAGCAUCCUUCACCUGCACCCUGUAGGAAAACAGAGUUGGAAGGGGUACUCUUUGCUGGCUUAACAACAGGCUGCAUGGCCAGGCCCAGAGCAUGGUGAGACCAGCAAAGACAAAAAUGACCUUUUAAUUGGA